GCAAGUCGAGCGCUCUUUAUUGAGAGCGGCGAACGGCUGAGGAACACGUUGGAACCUGCCCCGAACUCAGGGAUAACCUCGCGAAAGCGGGAUUAAUACCGGAUGCCCUCGUAAGAGGAAAGAUUUUUCGGUUCGGGAGGGGCCUGCGGCCUAUCAGUUAGUUGGUGAGGUAAAAGCUUACCAAGACUAUGACGGGUAGCUGGUCUGAGAGGACGACC
Molecule: ribosomal RNA, 218 nt
Filed under: uncultured bacterium
Lineage: Bacteria
Description: partial 16S ribosomal RNA
Rfam family: Bacterial small subunit ribosomal RNA
Source: RNAcentral